RNAcentral lists this ribosomal RNA (467 nucleotides) under uncultured bacterium. RNAcentral's name for it is "bacterial SSU rRNA". It matches the Rfam family "Bacterial small subunit ribosomal RNA", at positions 329 to 793 of the family's 1533-position model. The record is from RNAcentral.
AGCCAGACUCCUACGGGAGGCAGCAGUGAGGAAUAUUGGUCAAUGGGCGGGAGCCUGAACCAGCCAUGCCGCGUGAAGGCGAGUGCCCUACGGGCGUUAAACUUCUUUUGUGCGGGAGCAAUAAGGGCCACGCGUGGCCCGAUGAGAGUACCGCACGAAUAAGCAUCGGCUAACUCCGUGCCAGCAGCCGCGGUAAUACGGAGGAUCCGAGCGUUAUCCGGAUUUAUUGGGUUUAAAGGGUGCGUAGGCGGUUUGAUAAGUUAGAGGUGAAAUGUCGGGGCUCAACCCCGAAACUGCCUCUAAUACUGUUGGACUAGAGAAUAGUUGCGGUAGGCGGAAUGUAUGGUGUAGCGGUGAAAUGCUUAGAGAUCAUACAGAACACCGAUUGCGAAGGCAGCAUGCCGGCUCCACACUGACGCUGAGGCACGAAAGCGUGGGUAUCGAACAGGAUUAGAUACCCGCGUAAG